Molecule: RNase P RNA, 173 nt
Filed under: Acidaminococcaceae bacterium
Lineage: Bacteria; Bacillati; Bacillota; Negativicutes; Acidaminococcales; Acidaminococcaceae
Description: partial RNase P RNA component class A
Rfam family: Bacterial RNase P class A
About the family: Ribonuclease P (RNase P) is a ubiquitous endoribonuclease, found in archaea, bacteria and eukarya as well as chloroplasts and mitochondria. Its best characterised activity is the generation of mature 5'-ends of tRNAs by cleaving the 5'-leader elements of precursor-tRNAs.
Source: RNAcentral
UGAGUGUGAAAGGCAAUCGCGGCGCCUGUGAGUUUUCGGAUUUGCAGGCGGUGAGGAAAGUCCGAGCUCCAUAGGGCGGAAUGCCGGAUAACGUCCGGCGAGGGAAACCUUAGGGAUAGUGCCACAGAAAAGUGUACCGCCAGAUUUAUCUGGUAAGGGUGGAACGGUGCGGU